AUACGUAGGGUGCGAGCGUUGUCCGGAAUUACUGGGCGUAAAGAGCUCGUAGGUGGUUUGUCGCGUCGUCUGUGAAAUUCCGGGGCUUAACUCCGGGCGUGCAGGCGAUACGGGCAUAACUUGAGUACUGUAGGGGAGACUGGAAUUCCUGGUGUAGCGGUGAAAUGCGCAGAUAUCAGGAGGAACACCGGUGGCGAAGGCGGGUCUCUGGGCAGUAACUGACGCUGAGGAGGGAAAGCAUGGGUAGCGAACAGGAUUAGAUACCCUGGUAGUCCAGGCCGUAAACGGUGGGCGCUAGGUGUAGGGGUCUUCCACGACUUCUGUGCCGUAGCUAACGCAUUAAGCGCCCCGCCUGGGGAGUACGGCCGCAAGGCUAAAACUCAAAUGAAUUGACGGGG
RNAcentral lists this ribosomal RNA (398 nucleotides) under uncultured bacterium. RNAcentral describes it as "partial 16S ribosomal RNA". It matches the Rfam family "Bacterial small subunit ribosomal RNA", at positions 523 to 918 of the family's 1533-position model. The record is from RNAcentral.